CAGCAGCCGCGGGAAUACAGAGGGUGCGAGCGUUAAUCGGAUUUACUGGGCGUAAAGCGUGCGUAGGCGGCUUCUUAAGUCGGAUGUGAAAUCCCUGAGCUUAACUUAGGAAUUGCAUUCGAUACUGGGAAGCUAGAGUAUGGGAGAGGAUGGUAGAAUUCCAGGUGUAGCGGUGAAAUGCGUAGAGAUCUGGAGGAAUACCGAUGGCGAAGACAGCCAUCUGGCCUAAUACUGACGCUGAGGUACGAAAGCAUGGGGAGCAAACAGGAUUAGAUACCCGAGUAGUCCCUGUCUCUUAUAC
RNAcentral lists this ribosomal RNA (301 nucleotides) under uncultured bacterium. Its description in RNAcentral is "partial 16S ribosomal RNA". It matches the Rfam family "Bacterial small subunit ribosomal RNA", at positions 509 to 807 of the family's 1533-position model. The record is from RNAcentral.